UUAACUCACAAUCCUUUUCCCCCCUUUCGUGCGAGACGAGAGCUAGGGUUCCACAAUCCCUUUCUCUUCCUCCCAGGUGGCCGCCGCCGGACUCCAUCACUCCACCACGUGCGUCGGCGCCACCACCUACCUCUCGCGGCCGUACGUGUGGGAAGCUCUCCGAGUUGCGCCUGUGCCUUGGGGAAUCGUCACCGCCGCCAGGCCAGACCGAGGAGGAGUGGCUCCACGGGAACUACGCCGUCGGCUACCCCUACACAUCCUCAGUCUGCGCCCGCGCCGGCGAAAUCCGCCAAUCCGACACCUCGUUCCUGCGCCGCUACGUCCUCCGAGGCCCUCGCCUGGUGGGCAGCAUCACGGGGGCCGUCGCCUGCCUCAACCCUCGAUCCUCGUUCCUGCGCCGCUGCGUCCUUCGAGGCCCUCGCCUCUGCACCCUCGAUGCCUCCCGUAUCUCCGCCGUCCUCCGCCUUCCGGGGGCCUGUUCUGUUUGGGCAGGGCGAAGAAGGUGCCCAAUCUUCCUGAUUUUACCUCUUCCAUUAACAUCUUUGGAUGGUCACCGCGGUCAAGUGCAGGACUACAUCGACUACGGAGCAGCGAUAAGGGGCAUUGGAGCAGGCACGACCAACCACCAACAAGGGUACGAUCCCUGUUCCUCCUCCAGUCUCCCUCCCUCUCCCUAUACAUCUCGUCAUUGUCAUGAAUGAAUGUAUGUGAAUGCCAUCUCCAACGAUAGAAGCCUCUUCUGCAUGGCUACUCACCAAAUCCUUUGGGACGUCACCUUGCAGUGAUCUCAAUCCUCUCUUCGUAUUUUUAAUUGCCUCUUUAUAUUGUGGCUGCAACAAGAUGUUAGUAUGGAGUUCAGUGGAAUCACUUGGAUAUAUGUACCAAUUGAAGCAAGUUCAGUGGAAUCACUUGGACUAACAUUUUGUUAGUUUAUGAAUAAAAGAUGCACGUACAAAUGUUCCUUGCAGGCUUUUAGCACACCAGUACAUCCAGAUUUGAAUCUACCACACACUUUAUUUGGGUUGUUCUUCAUGUCGUUUCAUUUUCUGUACUUAAAGUGCUUGAGGUAAUAUCAUACUUCUUGUGUAACAUCAUUCAGUCUUUGAUUAAACUAAGUUCUCUCUCUAAAAGGAGAAGUAGUACUGCUGCAAAUGUUUAACAGAUGCCAUCGUUACUACAGAAUGAUGCUAUAUAGUAUAUUCUAUGAAAUAAUAGUUACAUUUUCAUGAAAAUCAGAAUCAUUGCUGGAGAAUGACACUGCUAUGCGGAAUUACAUUUAUGUACCGAUUUGCACACUUGAAUCUAACUGUAGUUAACGUGCUAAUUUUACUAGAAGGAUGGUGUAUCUUAUUAAUUGUGUUUAACAUGAUACUCUUUCCGAUAUUACUGAUAAUUUUAAUGUAAUCCCUUGCUCGGCAUUUAAAAUUCAUGACAUCUUUCAUAAGUGGGUUCUUGAAUUGGCAGCAGACAAAUAGGUGUGAUGUUCAUAAGUUCAGUGUCUUGCAUGAACAGUAAAGUGAAUAUACACCAUGUCUUUGCUUGAUUUCAUUUUUUGUUAUUAGAACGUCACUGCAGUCUAUGCCAUUAGGAUAAGCAGAAGUGUCAUUCGCAUUGAAGAACAUCACUUUACCAGUAAGAGAUCUCCACGAUUUAGCAUGGGUGUAUGCAAACCAGUACUGAUCAUGCAAGAAAAUAUUGUGGGACAGGGCUUGGCCUUGUGAUUUUCAAGCAAUUGGUUUGUUUUCUCUCGGUUCCAAUUACUGAUUCAUCUAAAAUACAAAGUUAAGAUAUUAGGUAUGUAUUAAAUACUAAACUUGGGAACACAACGAUAAUUAUUUGAGUGUUAGCUGUAGCAAAAGCAGGCCUAGUGUGAUUUAUAAAAUUCUAGAACUAUUUCACUGAAUUUCCGCAAUAAUUUAGGUGGAGUUGCUGGGUGGUACUCUUAAUUGUGGUUCGCAACGAGAAUAAAGGAUCAACAUUUACAUUCAUUCUCAUUGCUAACCAUAGUUUCCUGUAAAAAAAAGGAGCACUGUGGAGUUGAUGGGUGGUACUCUAGGUGUGGUGCACGUCAUCUGGUCUUGCCUGUGAGUGAGUAGCAAGAUGGGGGCUGAGCUCUCUUGGAUCCGGGAACCACACCUGCUGCCGCCACCGGAUACCUCUAAGUGCAGAGCCAUUGCCAACCUCACCGGAAACGCCGCGCCGUCCAUCUUGUUCCUCCCUCACUGGCAAGACCGGAUGGUGUGCACAUGAUGUCUUCCUCCUUCCCCGACUGUUUGGCUGCAGGCACCACAUCUACAUCAAUCUGAUUCAUUGCGUCAGGUGUAGUCAUGAAGUCAAUCAUCCGCAACUUGGGAUUGUUCAGGAGGUAUAGACAUUUAAAUUGGAGGAUGGAAAUUUCACCAAAAAUCAGGUGCUUUUAACCGCAUACGACCAUUACUUUCUACUACUUCACCAGCUGCACUACAUCAUAGUCACAACAAUGGUGUAUACAUAUACAACUCUUGUUAGUAAAUAAAAAGGUGGACUUGAGGAGACAAAAAUAAUAAUGAUGCACACAUAUACAAGUUCUCUUUUAUUUCUGAAAUGGGCAAAGUUUAAGUGCAUCUGCUCAUGAAUUACCCACUAUUUUUAGAAGUCAUUAUUCGAGAAUUAACCUUUGACUCAGAAUAAUUAGAGGCCAAUUUUGCACAAUAUUGUUUGCUUCCAUAGUAACUUGUGUAUUGUUUUGAUUUUACUUUCAGGAUAUGAGUGCAGCAUCAUAGGGGGAUCACGAGGAGCUAGGAAACUAUUGAGUCUAUUUUUUUGCAGUUUGUUUCAGAGAAGCCCAUGUUAGUUUUACAUGGGAUUUUGGCAGCUGAUUCUGUUUGUGGUUAUAUUAAGAUCUAUGAAUUGCAAUUGUGCUAUUUUUUAUAAUAAAGGGAAAAAGGAGUGCUGCUUAGGCUCUGCUCAAAACUUUGUAGUGCACACAUAACUCAGUUCAUUGACUGGGUGAAUCCAUUAGAUGCGUAUAACUUGAGCCUUGUGUAAUUUGCAGUUUAGUGACUGUCACUAUUUCUAGGUAUAUAAUUUGGGAGCACACAAUUUCUUGACCCCUGUUACUAUGUUAGUAGUAUAGAUUGUUACAGAAUAUAGGUAGUUUCUGAAAUUCUUCUUACUUUAUCCUGUUAAUAUGAAUGGUUUGUGGAUUAAUAAAAUGAAAACCUUAAAUCUUGGUAUGAUUAUGUAAAAUGUGGACCCGCGCCCUGCACAAUUUUGUUUAUACAAAACCUAGGCAUGGCUGGUGCUCUACUAUUUCAUCUUUCAUUUGUUGUUCAGUAGUACUUCCAAAUCUCUAAAUCAUGUUUUGCCAUUUGAAUUAAUUUAGUUACAAUUCACUCGGUUCUCUAGCCUUACAUAUGAGAGAUGCCAUAGUAAAUCAGAAUUAAUAACACCGACAGUUAUAAUAGUUCAUCAUUGGAAGGUAUGUCGGGUGUUUGGGAAGAGAAGCAUGGUGCCGGAACGUACACAAAUUGCUUUUGGUUCUCUACCCAUCUGAUCUCAAUUAAGAUCACUGGAGUUUGUGAAAGUUAAAUUAUUGUCUGUUAAAUGAUUUUUUUGAACUACUAAAUUGUGUUGUUUGUGUUUUCUUCUCAUGUAGAUAUUGUGGAUUAUACUCGAAUAUAAUCAUCAAGUCCUUUUCUGUAGAAUUGGCUGAGAACUGCCUAAGAAUUGGCUGCGUGAUUCUUGACAGAAAAGUACGUAUGCUGAACUAGGCUGAGUAGUUACAUGUACAUGCUUCAGGCUACCCACUCUAAUUCAGAUAUUCGAUUAGAAUUAGACCUCACCUCAUGUAACUUAAAAGGCUUGUUCUAUGCUAAGUGAAAAAAAAUGAUGCACUACUAAGAUUUUGUUGAAAGAAGCUUAUGCUUCAUGUGUUACGCCAUUCAUUUGACUCAAAUUGAUGCCAACUCACUAGAAAUUGAAAUGUUGUUUCCAGCCAGUUUGUCCUUCUAUUUUUUCUGGUCAUAAGUCGUCAUAUCUUUUCAGUAUAUAAUGUGUAGGUAAUCGAUGUCUUGUGUUGCCAUUUUAUAGGUCUUAACAUGUCCAUCGCAAUUUUACAUCGGCAGUAGGGAUUCAUGGUGACAUACACCAGCAUAGUGGAGCUUCUCACUUUAUGCUCUCCUUCUAACAAGAGUUUGCAGCUUUUGCUCCUAAAUGUAUCUGCUGAUCAAAUGACUUGGUAUUUCAGUGUUUGGUGGUUUCAUCAUGCAGUAGAGUAUGAACCCUAAUGAUUAUGAUCCUCUUCUUCAGGUGGAGUGCAAUUGAGGUAAAAGAAUGCUUGUGUCAUUGUUG
This is a non-coding RNA of Lolium perenne, 4332 nucleotides long. NCBI's taxonomy places the organism in Eukaryota, Viridiplantae, Streptophyta, Magnoliopsida, Poales, Poaceae. The record is from RefSeq and is a predicted model, not a curated record.